This 62-nucleotide transfer RNA is filed under the name Mesocricetus auratus (golden hamster). It matches the Rfam family "tRNA", at positions 6 to 65 of the family's 71-position model. From Rfam's summary of the family: Transfer RNA (tRNA) molecules are approximately 80 nucleotides in length. Their secondary structure includes four short double-helical elements and three loops (D, anti-codon, and T loops). Further hydrogen bonds mediate the characteristic L-shaped molecular structure. tRNAs have two regions of fundamental functional importance: the anti-codon, which is responsible for specific mRNA codon recognition, and the 3' end, to which the tRNAs corresponding amino acid is attached (by aminoacyl-tRNA synthetases). tRNAs cope with the degeneracy of the genetic code in two manners: having more than one tRNA (with a specific anti-codon) for a particular amino acid; and 'wobble' base-pairing, i.e. permitting non-standard base-pairing at the 3rd anti-codon position. The record is from Rfam by way of RNAcentral. Lineage: Eukaryota; Metazoa; Chordata; Mammalia; Rodentia; Cricetidae.
UGUGGCUCAGUUGGGAGAGUGCUUGCCUAGCAUGCAUGAAGCCCUGGGUUCAAUCCUCAGCA